UUCCGGUUGAUCCCGCCGGACCCGACUGCUAUUUGGGUGAGGAUAAGCCAUGCGAGUUGAAUGGGAAACCUAAAAAUCCCAUGGCAAACUGCUCAGUAACACAUGAUCAACUUACCCUAUAGAGGAAAAUAACCUCGGGAAACUGAGGAUAAUGUUCCAUAGUUGAAUCGGCUUGGAAAAGUUUUUCAAUAAAAGGGAUAAGGAAAAUGGUUCUUAUCUGCUAUAGGAUAGGAUCGUGCUCGAUUAUGGUUGUUGGUGAGGUAAAGGCUCACCAAGCCGAUAAUCGAUAGGGGCCGUGAGAGCGGGAGCCCCGAGAUGGGUACUGAGACAACGACCCAGGCCUUACGAGGCGCAGCAGGCGCGAAACCUCCGCAAUACACGAAAGUGUGACGGGGUUACCCAAAGUGUUCUAUUUAGAACUGUGGUAGGUGAGUAAUGUCCCCUACUAGAAAGGAGAGGGCAAGGCUGGUGCCAGCCGCCGCGGUAAAACCAGCUCUUCAAGUGGUCGGGAUAAUUAUUGGGCUUAAAGUGUCCGUAGCCGGUUUAGUAAGUUCCUGGUAAAAUCGGGUAGCUUAACUAUCUAUAUGCUAGGAAUACUGCUAUACUAGAGGGCGGGAGAGGUCUGAGGUACUACAGGGGUAGGGGUGAAAUCUUAUAAUCCUUGUAGGACCACCAGUGGCGAAGGCGUCAGACUGGAACGCGCCUGACAGUGAGGGACGAAAGCCAGGGGAGCGAACCGGAUUAGAUACCCGGGUAGUCCUGGCCGUAAACGAUGCAUACUAGGUGAUGGCACGGCCAUGAGCCGUGUCAGUGCCGUAGGGAAACCGUUAAGUGUGCCGCCUGGGAAGUACGGUCGCAAGGCUAAAACUUAAAGGAAUUGGCGGGGGAGCACCACAAGGGGUGAAGCCUGCGGUUCAAUUGGAUUCAACGCCGGAAA
This 937-nucleotide ribosomal RNA is filed under the name uncultured archaeon. RNAcentral describes it as "bacterial SSU rRNA". It matches the Rfam family "Archaeal small subunit ribosomal RNA", at positions 1 to 924 of the family's 1478-position model. The record is from RNAcentral.